Molecule: non-coding RNA, 664 nt
Organism: Linepithema humile (Argentine ant)
Lineage: Eukaryota; Metazoa; Arthropoda; Insecta; Hymenoptera; Formicidae
Source: RefSeq, a predicted model, not a curated record
CACUGUAUCCUUCGACAAAGCUCAGCCCGACGGCAUUUGGACUUUGCUGCUCAUCAAGCUGAACAACUCUUUGGAGUGCGGCUACGUGAAUCCGGUCGAAGAGCAGCCUCGCUCGAGCGCCAACUUCAACUACUAGCUGUGGCACGAUCUCCUGGUAACAGGAAUAGUCACUCUCGGUGGACUUUCCAGUGCUUUAUUCGACAAGCACACUUACGUCACUGUCGGGUCGAAACACGAUAAGAGAGACGGAAUCGAGGGGAACAGUGUGGAUUAUGGUGAGCAUAGACUGACAACCGCCAUCCCAUUGCAUAGUGUGAUAUCCGUGAACCAUUCAAGGGCUGUCUCGGCGAGGUGCGCAUCGGCAGCAUACUGCUGCACUACUUCACGAAUGAAGAAGUAUCAAAAUGCGAAUUUUACGCCGCUGGAGUUGCUGAGCAACGUUGCAAAGCAUCUGCGACAGCGGCUGGCAGGGAUGCCUAUGCGACAACGAUAUCAACGAGUGCGUGACGCUGAAUCCCUGCAAACACGACGGCGUGUGCGUGAAUGUGCCGGGCUCAUUUCGCUGCGAGUGCCCGGACCAGUUUACUGGUGAUUUGUGCGAAAAAUUCCGACUGAUCACAUGUGAGAACAACCCAUGCAUGCGCGGCGCGACCUGCCUCGACUC